GCUUGCUUCUCUUGAGAGCGGCGGACGGGUGAGUAAUGCCUAGGAAUCUGCCUGGUAGUGGGGGAUAACGUUCGGAAACGAACGCUAAUACCGCAAACCUCCUACGGGAGAAAGCAGGGGACCUUCGGGCCUUGCGCUAUCAGAUGAGCCUAGGUCGGAUUAUCUAGUUGGUGAGGUAAUGGCUCACCAAGGCGACGAUGCGUAACUGGUCUGAGAGGAUGAUCAGUCACACUGGAACUGAGACACGGUCCAGACUCCUACAGGAGGCAGCAGUGGGGAAUAUUGGACAAUGGGCGAAAGCCUGAUCCACCCAUGCCGCGUGUGUGAAGAAGGUCUUCGGAUUGUAAAGCACUUUAAGUUGGGAGGAAGGGCAUUAACCUAAUACGUUAGUGUUUUGACGUUACCGACAGAAUAAGCACCGGCUAACUCUGUGCCAGCAGCCGCGGUAAUACAGAGGGUGCAAGCGUUAAUCGGAAUUACUGGGCGUAAAGCGCGCGUAGGUGGUUUGUUAAGUUGGAUGUGAAAUCCCCGGGCUCAACCUGGGAACUGCAUUCAAAACUGACUGACUAGAGUAUGGUAGAGGGUGGGUGGAAUUUUCUGGUGUAGCGGUGAAAAUGCGUAAAUGUAUGGAAGGAACCCCCGGUGGCGAAAGGGGACCACCUGGGACUAAUGACUGACACUGAGGUGCUGAAAGCGUGAGGGAGCAGACGAGGAUUAGAU
Molecule: ribosomal RNA, 720 nt
Filed under: Pseudomonas sp.
Lineage: Bacteria; Pseudomonadati; Pseudomonadota; Gammaproteobacteria; Pseudomonadales; Pseudomonadaceae
Description: bacterial SSU rRNA
Rfam family: Bacterial small subunit ribosomal RNA
Source: RNAcentral